This 244-nucleotide unclassified non-coding RNA is filed under the name uncultured Lasiosphaeriaceae. Its description in RNAcentral is "sequence contains ITS2". Lineage: Eukaryota; Fungi; Ascomycota; Sordariomycetes; Sordariales; Lasiosphaeriaceae. The record is from RNAcentral.
AACGCACAUUGCGCCCGCUAGUAUUCUGGCGGGCAUGCCUGUUCGAGCGUCAUUUCAACCAUCAAGCCCCCGGCUUGCGUUGGAGCCCUGCGGCUGCCGCAGGCUCCUAAAUACAGUGGCGGGCUCGUCGUCGUACCGAGUGCAGUAAACAUCCUCGCUCAGGGAACGCGUCGGGUUCUUGCCGUGAAACCCCCCCUAUAUCAAGGUUGACCUCGGAUCAGGUAGGAAUACCCGCUGAACUUAA